AGGGAAUCUUCGGCAAUGGGGGCAACCCUGACCGAGCAACGCCGCGUGAGUGAAGAAGGUUUUCGGAUCGUAAAGCUCUGUUGUAAGUCAAGAACGGGUGUGAGAGUGGAAAGUUCACACUGUGACGGUAGCUUACCAGAAAGGGACGGCUAACUACGUGCCAGCAGCCGCGGUAAUACGUAGGUCCCCGAGCGUUGUCCGGAUUUAUUGGGCGUAAAGCGAGCGCAGGCGGUUUGAUAAGUCUGAAGUUAAAGGCUGUGGCUCAACCAUAGUCGCUUUGGAAACUGUCAAACUUGAGUGCAGAAGGGGAGAGUGGAAUUCCAUGUGUAGCGGUGAAAUGCGUAGAUAUAUGGAGGAACACCGGUGGCGAAAAGCGGCUCUCUGGUCUGUAACUGACGCUGAGGCUCGAAAGCGUGGGGAGCGAACAGGAUUAGAUACCCUGGUAGUCCACGCCGUAAACGAUGAGUGCUAGGUGUUGGAUCCUUUCCG
RNAcentral lists this ribosomal RNA (489 nucleotides) under uncultured bacterium. RNAcentral's name for it is "partial 16S ribosomal RNA". It matches the Rfam family "Bacterial small subunit ribosomal RNA", at positions 356 to 836 of the family's 1533-position model. The record is from RNAcentral.